AGAGUCAAGCCUGAUACAGGGUGAGCAAACAGCUCUGCAUCCAGAAGUGAGUCAUCAUUGGUCUCCGGCUGAUUUUAUCAUCCUCUCUGCUACGAGAGCUGUUUCUCUCACCUGAUUCAGGCAAAACAAGCUGCAGGUGUAAAACCCAAUGGUUCAAGCACUCCCAGGUUUUUAUGAUGAGGUGGUGAAGAAGCCUUCAGAUGACCUGUUCUACUGGCAGGUCAGAGGGGCUGGAGCUUUUGACUAGUAGUGAUAAGCAGCUAGGGAUAGGUUGAGGGGCAGUGGUGUCUUCCAAGACCCCUAAACAGAAUAUAUUCAGACCUGCAGUGCAAAUUCCUCCUAUAUUAUUCUUUGUAACUUUUUCCACCAAAAUAGAAUUUAAUCUCUACACAAGAGGCAGAAGCUUAUAAAGAUCCUCCCUCAAUAAGCACAGACAAGGUUCCAGCUGCUGUGACUGGGAAGGAAAACCUCAAAAAUGAGAAAUUAGGAACUGCCUGCCUCAAGGUUGGAGGUGUGGCUGGGUCCUCCUUCUUGCACAGUUACUCUGAAUGAAAUCCUUUAGGAGACAUUCCAGGAGAAAUGAAGAUGUUUCAAUCAAACCGAAAAGCAAAUGCAAAGAACAUUUUGAGCAGAGUGGAGUUGUGUAGAAACAAUUAUUUUCCUUCGUACAUGUAUCUCGGAAAAACUGAUGUACGCUCUUCUCCAUUCAGGGAUUAAGUUUUGAAGCACUAUUUUGAAGUUGCAUGUUGUUAGGGGGUUUUGUUUGUUUGGGGUUUUGUUAUGUUUUAUUUUGUUGUUGUUUUUUUUUAAUGGGGAAGAUGUAUUCCUCACAGAAAAUUUUCAGAGGAGCAAUCAAUAUACAAAAUGAAUUAUCUGUUGUUGGAUCUGAACUGCAUAUCUGUACACAGGGUGUUUUUGUACUCUAGGGUACUCUGAAAGCAUCGUGGCUGAAUCAUAAUAAACAAUGGAUUCCCUUAUCAAAAAAACACACAUACCCACAAAUAUUUCACUCCAUUUUCAAUGUCUUUGACAACAUAACAUUUAAAUACCUGAAGCAAUUUAUAAAGUAUUUAUAAUACAGAAUC
This is a long non-coding RNA of Pezoporus flaviventris, 1085 nucleotides long. RefSeq lists it as uncharacterized. The record is from RefSeq and is a predicted model, not a curated record. Lineage: Eukaryota; Metazoa; Chordata; Aves; Psittaciformes; Psittacidae. The transcript is spliced from 4 exons.